CUUUCCAUGUCGACAACAAAAUUCUCAGAAGUUCUCUGGAUUCUCAUCUUUCCCAGUACGUCAUAAGCCUUGCUAGAUCCUCUGAGAGAGAGAGAGAGAGAGAGAGAGAGAGAGAGGAAGAGAGAGAGGGAGAGAGAGAGUGAG
Molecule: long non-coding RNA, 144 nt
Organism: Rhodamnia argentea
Lineage: Eukaryota; Viridiplantae; Streptophyta; Magnoliopsida; Myrtales; Myrtaceae
Exons: 3
Source: RefSeq, a predicted model, not a curated record